CCCUAGUUAGCUCAGUUAGUAGAGCGCUCCACCUGUAAUGGAGAGGUCCCGGGUUGGAUACCCGGACCAGGCG
This 73-nucleotide transfer RNA is filed under the name Ixodes scapularis (black-legged tick). It matches the Rfam family "tRNA". From Rfam's summary of the family: Transfer RNA (tRNA) molecules are approximately 80 nucleotides in length. Their secondary structure includes four short double-helical elements and three loops (D, anti-codon, and T loops). The record is from Rfam by way of RNAcentral. Lineage: Eukaryota; Metazoa; Arthropoda; Arachnida; Ixodida; Ixodidae.